This is a long non-coding RNA of Acanthaster planci (crown-of-thorns starfish), 1227 nucleotides long. Lineage: Eukaryota; Metazoa; Echinodermata; Asteroidea; Valvatida; Acanthasteridae. The record is from RefSeq and is a predicted model, not a curated record.
UUUAUCUCCGAAUCCACAUUUAAGAACAUCACAGUGGAGUUCACCUUGGGAGAAGAGUACGAAGACACGUCACCAGAUGGCAGAAAGACGAAGAAUGUCAUCACUCUUAAUGAUGACAAAUUGACCCAAAUUGAGAAACCCCGUGACGGAAAAGGAAAACAGGUGACAUACAUAAGAGAGCUGACAGAAAGUGGAGAUCUAAAAGUGACUUGCAAACUUGACGAUAUUGUGGCAACACGCUUGUACAAGAGGAUCUAACACACCAAAGAUCAACCAAUGCAUGAACGCAUCGACAUCUCCAAACUCCCAAAGAUCCCAGACAGCAAUGACAAGAAGAUUUUUCAAAAAGCAAUGACAAGCAGAUUUUUUAGAGGCUAACGCAUAAAAUUGGGGAGUGCACAAGAAUUUAAAAUGUAAAACUUAAUAUCAGCAGACGUAUUCUGAAUGUACAUUCAUCUAUAGACAUAUUCCUCCCUCGAAAUUGAAGUAGCUUCAAAAUCCAUUCUUUAACCCCGUUGUUAUUGGUCUCGAAUAAUGUCUUGACGCAUAACCUCUUCACAAUAGCUGUCCGUAGCAUAAAACAUGCACAAGUUCUUGAUAGAAACAAAUUCAAUGUGUGGAAACCAAACACAAGAGCUAAUUCUUUAAAACAAGCCACUCUGUUAAUGUCUAUCUGUUUUCAUUUCGAUGAUUCAAGUAUUACCGCCUUUGCAGUGUAAACUACAAUCACAACGGAACUGAUUUCCCUGUGGAAUCGUAAUGAAACACUCAUUUGAUCGUCACCUUAUACCAAAAACGUACAUGUAUGGAGAAAUCCGACCAACAGAUUUAGAAACCAUUACUACGGGGCCAUCUUGUUAGCAUGCAGGCAGGUGGUGCGCAAGCGUGAAAUUCCUCCUUGACCAAUAGGCAAUAGUCAAUUGCCGAAGGGCGCGCGUGCGCUCAGGUUGAGACAGCUACGUGAGUGUAAAUGGCCCCUCGGAAAGGCGUCUCAUCGGAUUUGUUCAUACUUGAAGUACUUCCCUGCUGAAGAGACGACUCAGAAUAGCAAGCCCAAUUAACGAAAAUGGCAGGGUGGUCUGAGCAGUUUUUAAAAAGAACAGUAUUUUCAGUCAUUAGCAUCAGAAAUUUAUAGCAUCUCAUCGUUUUUAAACAAGGUAUUCGAACUUUUCCCGAAUUUUUAACUGUCUAUAUUCUAGUCAAUAAACUACCUUUAAUUAAACUGUA